UACGUAGGGGGCGAGCGUUGUCCGAAUUUACUGGGCGUAAAGCGCGUGUAGGCGGCUCUUUAAGUCAGUUGUGAAAUCUUGCGGCUCAACCGCAAAACUGCGACUGAAACUGGAGGGCUUGAGUUUGGGAGAGGAAAGUGGAAUUCCUGGUGUAGCGGUGAAAUGCGUAGAUAUCAGGAGGAACACCCGUGGCGAAGGCGGCUUUCUGGCCCAACACUGACGCUGAGACGCGAAAGCUAGGGGAG
Molecule: ribosomal RNA, 245 nt
Filed under: uncultured bacterium
Lineage: Bacteria
Description: partial 16S ribosomal RNA
Rfam family: Bacterial small subunit ribosomal RNA
Source: RNAcentral